RNAcentral lists this ribosomal RNA (1432 nucleotides) under uncultured organism. RNAcentral describes it as "SSU rRNA". It matches the Rfam family "Bacterial small subunit ribosomal RNA". The record is from RNAcentral.
GCUUAACACAUGCAAGUUGAGGGGCAGCAUGGUCUUAGCUUGCUAAGGCCGAUGGCGACCGGCGCACGGGUGAGUAACACGUAUCCAACCUGCCGUCUACUCUUGGACAGCCUUCUGAAAGGAAGAUUAAUACAAGAUGGCAUCAUGAGUCCGCAUGUUCACAUGAUUAAAGGUAUUCCGGUAGACGAUGGGGAUGCGUUCCAUUAGAUAGUAGGCGGGGUAACGGCCCACCUAGUCUUCGAUGGAUAGGGGUUCUGAGAGGAAGGUCCCCCACAUUGGAACUGAGACACGGUCCAAACUCCUACGGGAGGCAGCAGUGAGGAAUAUUGGUCAAUGGGCGAGAGCCUGAACCAGCCAAGUAGCGUGAAGGAUGACUGCCCUAUGGGUUGUAAACUUCUUUUAUAAAGGAAUAAAGUCGGGUAUGGAUACCCGUUUGCAUGUACUUUAUGAAUAAGGAUCGGCUAACUCCGUGCCAGCAGCCGCGGUAAUACGGAGGAUCCGAGCGUUAUCCGGAUUUAUUGGGUUUAAAGGGAGCGUAGAUGGAUGUUUAAGUCAGUUGUGAAAGUUUGCGGCUCAACCGUAAAAUUGCAGUUGAUACUGGAUAUCUUGAGUGCAGUUGAGGCAGGCGGAAUUCGUGGUGUAGCGGUGAAAUGCUUAGAUAUCACGAAGAACUCCGAUUGCGAAGGCAGCCUGCUAAGCUGCAACUGACAUUGAGGCUCGAAAGUGUGGGUAUCAAACAGGAUUAGAUACCCUGGUAGUCCACACGGUAAACGAUGAAUACUCGCUGUUUGCGAUAUACAGCAAGCGGCCAAGCGAAAGCGUUAAGUAUUCCACCUGGGGAGUACGCCGGCAACGGUGAAACUCAAAGGAAUUGACGGGGGCCCGCACAAGCGGAGGAACAUGUGGUCUAAUUCGAUGAUACGCGAGGAACCUUACCCGGGCUUAAAUUGCAGAUGAAUUACGGUGAAAGCCGUAAGCCGCAAGGCAUCUGUGAAGGUGCUGCAUGGUUGUCGUCAGCUCGUGCCGUGAGGUGUCGGCUUAAGUGCCAUAACGAGCGCAACCCUUGUUGUCAGUUACUAACAGGUUCCGCUGAGGACUCUGACAAGACUGCCAUCGUAAGAUGUGAGGAAGGUGGGGAUGACGUCAAAUCAGCACGGCCCUUACGUCCGGGGCUACACACGUGUUACAAUGGGGGGUACAGAGGGCCGCUACCACGCGAGUGGAUGCCAAUCCCCAAAACCUCUCUCAGUUCGGACUGGAGUCUGCAACCCGACUCCACGAAGCUGGAUUCGCUAGUAAUCGCGCAUCAGCCACGGCGCGGUGAAUACGUUCCCGGGCCUUGUACACACCGCCCGUCAAGCCAUGGGAGCCGGGGGUACCUGAAGUGCGUAACCGCGAGGAGCGCCCUAGGGUAAAACUGGUGACUGGGGCU